CGCGCGCGCGCCCCCCCCCCUCCCCUCUUUCCCUUUUCCCUUUUCCCGCCUCCUUCCCUCAUUUCCCCCCCCUUCAUCCCAUGGACAUGGCACGGCCACCUUAAAACGCCGCGCCGCCCCCUCCUCCCCCGAUCGCCGGGGCCGGUAUGAGUCAGGUGUGAAGCCCCCGCCGGGAGGAGGUCGUUCCUCUGCUGGCUGCAGCCCUGACGCUGGGAUUUUCCUUUUUUUGGCUUUUUUUUUUUUUUUUUUUUUUUUCGGCCCCACCACCUCCCUCCUUCCCUCCCUCGCUCCCUCCCUCCAGGAAUCCAGCGCUGCACCGAAGCCAGAAGAGAGGGAGCAAAACCCAGCCCAGGCCGAGAGCCGCGUCCUGAAACCAAACCCGCCCUUCGCGUCGCAAAGGAGAUUUUUUUUUUAAAUCAUUAUUAUUAUUAUUAUUUUUAUUUUUAAUACCCCUGACCCGAGCACGGUGGCGGCAGCGGCGCCGGGGCAGGGAGGCUGUCCCGGUUAUUUAUUCUCUCCCCGCAGAGCUGUCCCUCCGGCUCACCAUGAUGUUCCGAGACCAGGUUGGCGUGCUGGCCGGGUGGUUCAAGGGCUGGAACGAGUGCGAGCAGACUGUUGCGCUGCUCUCCCUGCUCAAACGCGUCAGCCGGACCCAGGCUCGCUUCCUCCAGCUCUGCCUCGAGCAUUCCCUGGCAGACUGCACCGAGCUCCACAUCCUCGAAGGGGAGGCCAACAACCCCGGAAUCAUUAACCAGUGGCAACAGGAAUCCAAGGAUAAAGUGAUCUCCCUCUUGUUAACCCACCUGCCUUUACUGAAGCCCGGCAACAUCGAGGCGAAAGUCGAGUACAUGAAACUCUUGCCCAAAAUCCUGGCGCACUCCAUCGAGCACAACCAGCACAUCGAGGAGAGCAGGCAGCUGCUGUCCUACGCCUUGAUCCACCCUGCCACCUCCCUGGAGGACAGGAGCGCCCUGGCCAUGUGGCUCAACCACCUGGAGGACCGCACGUCGGGGGGCUUCGGCGGGCAGGGCCGGGGCCGCUCGGACUCGCUGGACUACGGGCAGGCUCACUACUAUCACCAAAGACAGAAUUCUGAUGACAAACUCAACGGGUGGCAGAACUCUCGGGACUCCGGCAUCAGCGUCAGUGCCUCCAGCUGGCAGGACAAAAACCUGGCCUGUGAGAACGGCCACCUGCCCCUCUACUCCUCCUCCUCCGUCCCCACCACCAUCAACACCAUCGGCACUAGCACAAGCACCAUUCUCUCAGGCCAGACACACCACAGCCCUUUGAAACGCUCUGUGUCCCUUACCCCACCCAUGAAUGUGCCAAACCAACCUCUAGGACAUGGAUGGAUGUCUCAUGAGGACUUACGAGCUAGAGGACCCCAGUGCAUCCCUUCCGAUCAUGCCCCCCUGUCUCCACAAAGCAGUGUAGCCUCUUCGGGAAGUGGUGGGAGUGAACAUUUAGAAGAUCAGCCUUCUGCUCGUAACACAUUCCAGGAGGAAGGGAGUGGGAUGAAAGAUGUCCCAGCCUGGCUGAAGAGCCUCCGGCUGCACAAGUACGCCGCCCUCUUCUCCCAGAUGACGUACGAGGAGAUGAUGGCCCUCACCGAAUGCCAGCUCGAGGCACAAAAUGUUACCAAAGGCGCGAGACACAAAAUAGUCAUCAGUAUCCAAAAGCUAAAAGAAAGACAAAACCUGCUCAAAUCUCUAGAAGGGGACAUCCUGGAAGGCGGCAACUUGCGUGUCCCGCUGCAGGAGCUGCACCAAAUGAUCCUCACCCCCAUCAAAGCCUACUCUUGCCAAAACUCGAGCACGGAGGAGCACAGCCGGGACGUGGACUCGCACCACCCCUCCUCCCUGCUGGGCUCGGACAGCCAAGGCUCAGAGUGCAAGGACUCGGCGGGGGCCGGGAUGCAGCAGCAUCACCUGCCGGGGUGCGAGGGCGAGUCCGGGGGGGCCCCUUUGCCCGAGGGUGACCUGCCUGGCCAGUUCACCCGAGUGAUGGGGAAAGUCUGCACACAACUUUUAGUUUCCCGACCCGAUGAAGAGAAUAUAAGUUCCUAUUUACAGCUCAUAGACAAAUGUCUAAUCCAUGAGGCGUUUACAGAGAUCCAGAAGAAGCGGCUGCUGUCAUGGAAACAGCAGGUGCAGAAACUCUUUCGGUCUUUCCCUCGGAAAUCCCUCCUGGAGCUGUCAGGCUAUCGGCAGCAGAGGAGCCGAGGCUUUGGCCAGUCCAACUCCCUCCCGACAGCCGGAUCCGCGGGGGCAGGGCUGGCGCGGAGGAACCCCCGGCAGUUCCAGAUCCCCUCCCGCAACCUCCCCACGGCCCGGCUGGGGCUGCUGGGCCCCACGGGGCUGCUGGGCACCCCCCAGCGCAGCCCUGCCGCCAGCCCCGCCAUCCUCAAGCAAGGCAGACAGAACCUGUGGUUUGCCAACCCUGGGGGCAGUAACAGCAUGCCCAGCAGGAGCCACAGCUCGGUGCAGAGGACGCGCUCGCUGCCGGUCCACACGUCCCCGCAGACCAUGCUGAUGUUUCAGCAGCCAGAGUUCCAGGUGCCGGUGACUGAACCUGACAUCAACAACAGGCUGGAGUCCCUGUGCCUGAGCAUGACGGAGCACGCACUCAGCGGUGAGCAUUCCCUCCUCCUGGGGCUCUUCCAGCACGUCCACGCCGCCUCUGCUGAGCCCCCCAGCACCUGCCCCCUGCCCCCCAAAAGCUGGGACAGGCUGUGGCUGUGAGAGUGGGGCCGGACGCGGGGAUGCUCCCGGGGAUGCUCCCGGGGCUGUUCCGAUGGGAAUAUUGGCUUCUCUCAGCGAGGCGGCCGGAGCAGGGGGUAAAGCCGAACGCAGGGAUCGCACCAGCACUAGUGGAGUCUGUGCUAAUUAGCCACUCGUCAGCUUGCUAAUGAUAAUUAGUGUUAGCUCGCUACUCUCGUUAGCUCUCGAUAAAGCCCCUGCUGCCGGCGCGCUCGGAUGGGUCACGGGCUUUGGAGUGUUGUGCCCUUCCACCACUGGAUCCCUCAUUUGUCCGAGGGUGCCCCACAGCUGGGGGCUGAAUCCCUGCCAGGGGCUGUGCCAGGGGCUGUGCCACACACAGCCGGGGGUGCCAGUGGAUAAUGGGCACGGGGAGGGAGGAGGAGCGGGGCAAAAACAAGCAGGGAAGAUGGAAAAGGCAGCAGCAGAGAGAUGGAGAGCCCGGUGCAGCACCAAGCACCGGCACCAGAAGCUCCUGGUGUCCCGUGCCAACGCUCUGGACCCCCAAGCACAAGGGCUGACCCCCCAGGGAUGGGAUGAACGUGGCCACCAGCAUCGCCCGGAUUCCCAAAUGACCGGCUCGGGUCUCGCUGCGGAAAUCCUGGACUGUGACGGACGCUUGAGGACGGGAACCCUCGGAGAGCACGAGUGCCACCAGGAGCCCUCGGGGAGGACAAGUGCCACCAGGCCCCCUGCAGGUGCAACAGCCUUUCCCGGGGAGAGGAACAGGAGAACAAGGACUGUGGGAAGCAGCAGGGCCCUGGCAGCAUCCCUGGCUGGGAAAACAAGGACACUUCUGUCACCCGAAGCGUUUCUCCGGCGUGUGCCCAGCCGAGGCUUAGCUGUCUUGUUCCUCUGCAGGAUGGUGUCGACAGAACCUCCACGAUCUAGAAGGCGUCGCCACGGGGACGCUGGCUGGGACAACAACUGCUGCGGGUCCAGCGGCGAGGUCGGGGCUUGAGGGAGCCUCAGCGAUAGCUUGCAUCCUUUCUCCUCUCUCCUCUCCUCUCUCUCUCUCUAUCUCUCUCUCUCUCCUGUUUUAAUUUUGUGAAUGUGUAGAUUGUCCUUGUGAACAUAUCAUUAGACUUGGAAUUUGUGUUGUCAUUUAUUACAUCCAUGCUAAAGGGGGGGGGGAAAGAUGGCAAAAAGUAAAAUCUCAGCGACGAUGAUGAAGCAGCGUGGGGGAGGUUGGGGGGGACACGGAGGAGGAGGAGGAGAGUGCUGACAACGGAGGGUUCACCAGAGCACCGUGGGCAAACCCUGUUCCUGGAGGAGGAUACCAAGGAGCACGGAACACCACGCAGGGCUGUGUGACCAAAAUCCCUUUGGGGAGGAUUUGCCUGCCCUGCCGGGGCUUCGGGGCCGGCAGUCCCGUCUCUCGAGUUCCGCCACGUUCGGGCACGGACUGACCCAGCGAGCCCAGAUCGAAACAGAAAUAAUAAAAUAACCCCAAAAUUUCCUUUCAGUUUAACCAAGAGAUCUGCAGUGUGGAGGCAGCGUUGUGCUCAGGGCGGUGCAGGGUGGGCAGGUGCAUCCUGCUUGGAUCGGGAUGUGGGAUAGAGCAGGAUCUCACCCAGAGGAGGGUCCCGGGGGGAGUCUGUGAACUGGGGGACACUGGGAGAGUUUCUGUGUCUCUUGCCUUGCCUGCACAGGUACCGGGAAGCUGCUGCAUCCUGGCUCCACACAUCUGGCCCAGCCUGUGAAAAUCCGGCUCUAAGGGGCUUUUGCAGCGUGGCCAAGGAGGGAUGAAGGAGCCCCCAAAUAAAACCCAAGCUACAAAAGGCACCAAAAUGCAGCUUCACAGCUUUGUUUUCUUGGCAUUAACCGUGUGCUGGGGGGGAGAUGGGGCUGGGCUGCUCCUCACCCACCACUGCUUUUUAGAACAGGAGCUGAAUUUGGUGUUAAAUUGGUAAAUCUGAGCCGGCGCUUCUCAGACCUGCAGUGAUGCUCCCGCCGGUCCCGAUGCUGCUCCAAGUCCUUGGAUGGAAAAAUAAGAAAUGUAAAAUCAAUUAAUUGAGUUGAUGGGUUGCAGCAAUAUUUCCAAACUGGGCUGUGAGGAUAUGGGCAGCACCAUGUGCCAGGAUCAGAGGGAGCAGGGCUCAGGGGGAGCCCGAGCAUGGGCAGGGCUGGGAGAUGUGUGAAUCCUUUUGUCAUGCAGCGUUUUCAAGUUGUUUUUCUAAAAAGAAAAAAAAAAAAAAAGAAUAUAUAUAUAUAUAUACAUAUAUAUAUAUACACAUAUAUAUAUACACAAAAACCCAAGUGCCAAAUGCAAUGUUUUAUGUUUGCUGUUCCUUGGUGUCCUGCUUCCCGGCAGACAAGAGGUUGAGGGGGGGUGAUGGGGAGGGUGGAGAAGGGAAAAUCUGAAGGCCAGGGAGGUUGGGAAGAGGUGUGAGGAGGUGAAGGCGAAGCGGGGUCAGCGCUGGGGACCUGGGUCACCCCCAAGCACCCCCAGCUUGUGAGGUGUGAGCAGAACCACCGUAGCAGGAGCCUCCCUCAGGGAGACUCCAGUGUAUUUACAGAGCUGAAAUUCUAUUUAUUCCUUCGCUGACUACGGACACGGAGGUUUUCUGAUUGUUCAGAGAGAUUAUUUUGGAUAUUUUACCUAUUAACUUGCUAUGGCUGGGAACCAUGAUAAUGUCUGUUAUUAACAACCACCAAAUAAUUCAAUUGUUUUAUCCUUUUGAUGUUAAAAAAAAAGAAAAAAAAAAAAGCUUAUUUUCCAUUGACAGUGUAGAGGUUAAUAACGACUUAGUUGUGUUUGCUGUUUCUUGUUUUGUUUUUUGAGUAAAAAACAACAAAAAAGUGGCUUCAGUUGCGUUCGGGAAGUGCUGCCUGGCUCUGGCUGCCGGUGCUAAGUGCGGGUGGCAGAGCUCCAGGGAAAGAAGCUUAAAAGGGGGGGUGGGGGGGGGAAAAAAAGCUGGAAUCCUAAAAGAAAUAAAAAUUAUUUAUAGAAAGAAAAAAAAAAAAAAAAGAAAAGAAAAAAAAAAACCAACCCCAACAGUUGCACGAGUGAGGCUGUGAAGUCAAAUAUUCAGUAAUAAAGCGGCAGUGCCUUUCUUUUUGUAUCCCCCGCUCGCCCCACUGCAGCUGUCCCCUCCGUGUCCCUGCAGAGGUGUCGCCACCGCGGGGUCCUGGGCGAGUCCCCCCUCCCUCUGCUCGCCCAGCCCCAGCCCCGGACCCCGGGGACCUUUUCCUGGUGCUGUUCCCCUGAGCUGUCCCCGGAGGCGACACCCGCGGGGACACAACCCCAUCCCCGGGGACACCGAGCUGGGCUCAGCUCAGCAGAACCCUCCAAAAGAAAUUCCGGGUGGGGAGGGAGAGGUCGAGCCCGGGCAGCAUCCAGCAGGAAAAUCCCAAACUGUGAUUAAAGCGAGUUGGGUCAGCACUUAGGGAAACGAUUUCUGUUGUCACCUUUCUCCAUGUCGGGUUUGGCUUUUGGAAUGUGCCUGAUGGAAAGUGGGUCCCGCAGACGUCUAUAAUUUGCACACAGCGACGAUAACACUAAAGUUGAUUUUAUACGAGUCAUCAGAGUUUGCAAAAGUGAGUUUUAUUUUUUGUAUUCCUUUAUCUUUACUUAAAGGUGAAUGUGUAUUCCUCUGGGAGGAAUAGGAAGAAAAAAAAAAAAAAAGAAAAA
Molecule: RNA transcript, 6393 nt
Organism: Poecile atricapillus (Black-capped chickadee)
Lineage: Eukaryota; Metazoa; Chordata; Aves; Passeriformes; Paridae
Gene: SAMD4A
Gene name: sterile alpha motif domain containing 4A
Exons: 13
Source: RefSeq, a predicted model, not a curated record